AUAGUGCAGUGCAAGUGCAUGGUGGACACUCUUCUGUAAAAAAAAAUCAAAGCCUUAAAGGCUGUAAAAGCAAUUGCUGCCAUGUUAAUGUUUUGGGACACUUUUUAUUUUUCAUCUACAUAUAUAAGAAUUAAACCUGACAGGACAUGGUUGUCUAGUGAAAAGCAAGAAGGUUUUGACUUUAUAUCAAUAAAAGACUUAAGCAGGAAAUCAUUUUAAUAUGUUUUAUAUUUCACAAGGAGACAACAAGUUUACCAGGCUAAAGUUGGGGGUAAUUAUGGAUUAUCCCCUGGUAGUGUUUGUAACUGGGCAAUAAUUACUUUUAUUUAUUUAAUUUUAACAAUUUUCAUAAUUAAUUUAAAUUAACCAUUCAUUUAAAACAUUUCACCUUUCGAGACGCUAAUGUUGAAAAAUGGGACAGAAAUAAAAUAACUUACAAGACAUAAACAUGUAAAAAAUAAAU
Molecule: long non-coding RNA, 463 nt
Filed under: Mytilus galloprovincialis (Mediterranean mussel)
Lineage: Eukaryota; Metazoa; Mollusca; Bivalvia; Mytilida; Mytilidae
Source: RNAcentral